GGGCCCUGUCGUGCUUCACGGCUGGCCUCAAAUGACUGAGUGCACCCUGCUGUUGCAGCGUCUUCAGUGUGAUAAGCAUCUUCACUGGAACAAGCUCCCUUGUGGACACGCUCGCUUUGUGGGCUCUGUGCUUGUGAACCGUCCGCGGUGCGGACAACAUGUUGACAAUUUGACCUCAAAUCGGGUGGGACUACCCGCUGAACUUAAGCAUAUCAAUAAGCGGAGGAAAAGAAACUAACAAGGAUUCCCCUAGUAACGGCGAGUGAAGAGGGAAAAGCUCAAAUUUUGAAUCUGGCUCCUUUGGUGCCCGAGUUGUAAUCUAGAGAAGUGUUUUCUGCCUCGGACCACGCAUAAAUUCCCUGGAAUGGGGUGUCAUAGAGGGUGAGAAUCCCGUUUGUGGUGUGGACUGCCUUGGCUCUGUGAUACACUCUCAACGAGUCGAGUUGUUUGGGAAUGCAGCUCAAAAUGGGUGGUAAAUUCCAUCUAAAGCUAAAUAUUGGCGAGAGACCGAUAGCGAACAAGUACCGUGAGGGAAAGAUGAAAAGCACUUUGGAAAGAGAGUGAAACAGUACGUGAAAUUGUUGAAAGGGAAGCGUUUGAAGUCAGUCGCAUCCGUCGGAUUCAACCGUGCUUCUGCUCGGCUUACUUUCCGUCGUAUGGGUCAGCGUCAAUUUCGACCGAGGGAGAAAGGCGGAGGGAAUGUGGCUGUCUUCGGGCAGUGUUAUAGCCCUCUGUUGUAUGUCUCGGUUGGGAUUGAGGAUCGCAGCACGCCUUUUGGCCGGGGUUCGCACCCUCGG
RNAcentral lists this ribosomal RNA (797 nucleotides) under uncultured Sebacinaceae. RNAcentral's name for it is "eukaryotic LSU rRNA". The stretch from base 171 to 797 matches the Rfam family "Eukaryotic large subunit ribosomal RNA", at positions 1 to 611 of the family's 3401-position model. The record is from RNAcentral. Lineage: Eukaryota; Fungi; Basidiomycota; Agaricomycetes; Sebacinales; Sebacinaceae.